CCAGUAUAUUAAAGAUUGUUAUAAAAAUAUAUGAAAAGAACUGGAACCAGAUUCAGAAUCAUGAAAACAACAUUUUUACAAAAAAAUAAACUAUAUUAAACAGGGUUUAAAGGAAAUUAGAACUAUAAGAAGUACAAUUUGUUAUAGUAUAGUAUCAAAUUUCUAUACAGAUUUUAUACCUCGGUGGGGAAAAACAACUGAUUCCAGUGACCGGAAGAGCGUUGUGUAGGGAGAGAGUG
Molecule: long non-coding RNA, 239 nt
Organism: Pipistrellus kuhlii (Kuhl's pipistrelle)
Lineage: Eukaryota; Metazoa; Chordata; Mammalia; Chiroptera; Vespertilionidae
Exons: 5
Source: RefSeq, a predicted model, not a curated record